CCUACGGGAGGCAGCAGUGGGGAAUAUUGCGCAAUGGGCGAAAGCCUGACGCAGCGACGCCGCGUGAGGGAUGAAGGUCUUCGGAUCGUAAACCUCUGUCAGCAGGGAAGAAAGGUCACUGUGCUAAUCAGCAGUGAAUUGACGGUACCUGCAAAGGAAGCACCGGCUAACUCCGUGCCAGCAGCCGCGGUAAUACGGGGGGUGCGAGCGUUAAUAGGAAUUACUGGGCGUAAAGCGCUCGUAGGCGGUAUGUCAAGUCAAGGGGGAAAUCCGCGCGCUCCAAGUGGGCACUGCCUUUGAAACUGGCAAACUGGAGUGUGUGAGAGGAUAGUGGAAUUCCAGGUGUAGGAGUGAAAUCCGUAGAUAUCUGGAGGAACAUCAGUGGCGAAGGCGACUAUCUGGCACAUAACUGACGCUGAGGAGCGAAAGCGUGGGUAGCAAACAGGAUUGGAUACCCUUGUAGUC
Molecule: ribosomal RNA, 465 nt
Filed under: uncultured bacterium
Lineage: Bacteria
Description: partial 16S ribosomal RNA
Rfam family: Bacterial small subunit ribosomal RNA
Source: RNAcentral